Long non-coding RNA from Amphiprion ocellaris (clown anemonefish), 8256 nucleotides. The record is from Ensembl. Lineage: Eukaryota; Metazoa; Chordata; Actinopteri; Pomacentridae.
GGACAGAAACUGCUGGAGUUACAAUAGCUUCUGUCCACAUGUUUUUGAUCAAGUAGAUAAUCAGUAGUACUACUUAUAGUGCUGUUUGUGUACUUCUGUGGGUCCGUGUAUAUUUUGGCAAUUGGAUUUUCCGUUCUGAAACGGGUAUUGAAAAACAAAAAACGAGUGGUUAUUUGAUUUUCGUUUUAAAAUACAAAAAUUAAAAUUGAAAUACAUUCUUUGUGAUCCUUUUCAUGAUCACAAAAGGAUAUACGAAAUUUUAAAAAUGCUUUGAUUUUCAUUUUAUAUGUAGAAUAACCCAAAAAUAAAUUCAGUAAGAGACAGAAACGGAAAAAGGUCCGUUUUUUCAUUUUCUGAGACCGGAAGUGGUCAUCAGCAAGUGUAGAGCCAAACGACGACAAGAUUCUCAGAGGGCGGAGCCAGAGAGCAGUGAUUGGUCAGACCAUAGACUGUAUAUAAAGAUGGACGUAGCGUCUGGCUCCAGAAAUGAAGCCAACACGGAAGUGUCAAAAACUUGCAAUAUCACACCGUCCGCUAGGGCUGACUCCAGAAAGCUCCAUAGACCCCAAUUCAUCACGGGAAAAACUAAAAUUUGAUAGACUGCUUUUCUACAGCUCAUGAUUUUUUUUUCGUUGGUUUUCAUGGUCAAAAUGAGAGAUCAGGUGGCCGAUCCUAAAAUAAAUCAAUAUUGAUUUUUUUUUUAUAGAGCGUUAAAGUUUUGCGAAGCCAGGGGGCGGGACUACUUGACUGACAGGCUGGUCUGGAAUGAUUGACAGGUCCUAUGGAGGAGGCAGCAGAGACUCUGCUCUCCUCGUUUGGAUUAAUUCUGAUAUAAUAACUGUUGGUUUAUUUAUCGGUGGAGCAGCAGAACAUUUUCCACAGACAGUUUUCCUGCCCGUUGGCUUGUUUUAACCAGUUUUCUGCCUUCGGCUGAUUCUACCAGCAGACACAAAGGACUCUGAUAGUUCGGUAAGUAAAUGUUUGUUUUCGUAUCGGUGCCGCUUUUAAUGCACUUUAUAUGCAGCUGUAGUGUCAGAUAUAAUGUGUGCCAUGCACUCCAGAUGUUGGUGGAGUUUAUUUCUGUGUGUGUUGACCAGAGAAGAAAGUUAGCAUCCAGUAAAUAUUAGCUUUAAUGUUAGCGAUGCUAACCGAGCUAGCUGCUCAGUCCUAGCCUGAUUAAAGCUAACGUAGCAUUAAGCUAACGAUGUUUGUGUUAUUUCCUGUAAACAGCUGAAGUAUGUUGUGUUACUGUAAUGUGGUACAUUUAGUUAAUAAAACUGUUCAUGGAGACGCUGGUUCACAUUAAUGUAACGUUUAGAAAACCUAAAUGUGAUUAAAACAGUGAGGUUAAGGUUCUGUGUUGUCAGUAGUCCUGAAUAUCUGCUGAGUCUCUGAAGUUAAACUGGAGAAAACAGUAAAUCUGCUCUCUAGUUGUUAACAUUGUUUAAUGACUGAUUCACAUGUUUUAGUACUUAUUCCUGCAGUGUAGACUGGAAAAAUAAACUCCCAGAAUAUGUCCAAAGUAAUGAUAAACACUACACUUAUUACAUUUAAAUUACAGCACAGAUAAGCUGGAUAAUAAAAUCCUUUCCUCUAAAGCUAAAGUGACUACAGGCCUUUCUGUCUUUCAGUGCCUGGAAAACUAUAUGAAACAGGAAAUCUGUCCAGGGAUACUUUAAAAUGAACCUCUGCUGUUGAUGCUGAUACUGUGACGUCUGUCUUCAUCUCAGGUGUCUCAUGUUCACUGUGAGGAUCUUCUGAGUGAAGCCAACAGAAGGAAAACCUCAUCUGGAUGUGAAGAAGGAGACUGAAUGGACGACAUCCUCAGUGAACCACUUCCUGUUUAACUUUCACUUACAGAAGGACAGAGCAACUAUUUCAGCAGUUUAUUUUUCUCUGUUCUUAGUAUUCACAGGUUCCAUUUAUCACCUUUAACUUCAUCUCUGCUGUUGUAGCAGAAUGAUAAUACAGAGCACAUUUUCCUAUCAUUUAUAUCAGAUAUGUAGCAUUAAAACAUCAAGGACAAGAGCUUCAUUAUUUUCUUUAUUGCACAUUUAAAAACUACAUUGUUUAACAAUUGUGAACUAAGGAUGCGUAAACACAUGUAAUAAAUGGAUGAAAUACAUAAUGUGUUGCUGACAGUGAAGUGUAAAAACUGAACAGUCACAAGACAAGUUGUAUUAUGAAGAGAGGAGCUGAAUCUGCAGCAUUAUUGUUAUUACUGGAAGGAUGAGGAGGACAUCAGUGCUGCUCUUCCUCACAGUGAUGAAGGAGAAAAGACUCUUCAGACAACCACAGCUGGAUGUUCUCUGGAGCUCUCAGUCCAUCAGACGAGAUGCCCCCAAUGAUCCAGACCAAGACUGGAAGGAAAAGACACCAACAGUGGAAGCUGAAUUAGUGAGGAUGACUCCUGCUCCUGUCAUCUCUAAGCUCCUCCCACAUCUUUACCUGCACAUGAGGAAAAUCACUCCUGUAGAAUGCAGAUGUUCAGAGGGAGAUGAUGCCACAUCUGGUCCAGCAGAUGGAAGGUCUUGAAGUUCUCUGACUGGCCUGGACUGAAGAUGGUCGUCUCACUGGAUUUAAGGUUCAGAUGCUCAGUAACAAACUCCACCAAUGAGCCAACAGGGAAGCUGUAGGUUUAUUAAAUGUUGCUAUGAAGGUUUCACUGUUUUUCUUUGUGGAUGCAAUGUGCUCCAACUGAAACUUGAAUUAGAACUUAGAAGUAAAUCCUUCCAUCUGAAAGGAUUUAGUUGCAUUAAUAACCUCAUAACAUUCUAAUUUUUAUUCCAGUCUUGGUUGGAAAUAGAAUCUCUGUAUUGAUUCAGGUAAAAACUGAACUUCACAGCAUGUUGGAGCAAAACAACCAGAUGAAAACUGUGAUGGUGUUGGAUUGUCAGACCGUAAUGUUGCAGCUCAAAGCAGCUUUUCUAUCUCAGUUCAUUCUGACAUUCAGCUAUGAAUCAACACAGCAGAUGGUGAUCCAUGCUGUGGAAAUCUCACAUCUCCUGAUUUAAUGGAGCUGCUUUGCACUUUUUACACUGUUUAUUCACCAACACUUUAUUUAAUGAAAGUCCCAUCUAGUUUUUAUGAGGAAUGUGAUGUUUUAAUUUCUCUGAAUAACUGCAGUCUAAUGGAAGAGCUGGAACUGUAACAUCUGUCCUGAUAUUGAUCAUGAAGUAUUGAUCAGAAUACUUAUGGUUAGCAGUCAUCCCUGAAGUUUUACAUUAAAAUCAUUACUUGUGUUGUGAACUUUGGUAAGAAGCAGAAACUUUAGCGUUGCCAUGGAUACAUGAGUGUUAAAUUCUGUCCAUGUUUCCAUUUUGGGAAAUUCAGUCCAUCAGAUGAGUUUGUUUUUACUGCCAGCUACCAUUCAGUCUGAGAUAUUAAGAAUAAAUAAAUGUGCAUAAUGUGGAAAUGAAGAGAUUUUAUUUUUAUUUAUUCCUACAGCUGCUGCAUGGAAAGUUCCAGAAUGUGGAGGAAUUUAGUCUCAUAAUCACAGACAAUAAAUAUUAUCUGAAAGUCAGGUUAUUGUUGUUUAUCAGCACAAUACAAAAAGAUUAAUGUUAGAAAUAUUGCAGUUAAGACUCUAGAAUAUCAUGAUUGAUGUAAAUUUACAUCAAUAAUAUGAAUGUUCAGGUUAAGAUUGUGCAGUGAUAUUUAUUCUGUAAGUUUAGCUGAUUAAAGUUUAUGACUCUGAUUAUUUAAAUUGACAUCAUUAUUCUAAUAUUUAGGGUCAGACCCUACAGUAUUGAGAUUAAGAAAUCAAAUAUUCUAUAAAAUGUAAAUACACUGAACUCAUUUGGAUAUAUUUAAGUGAGACUCUACAAUAUUAUGUGACACAAAUCUAUCUAAAUCCAAAUUUUAAUCAUUUUUCUCCAAACAUUUACUGGACUGAUUUAAACUUUAAAAUCACUCCUUUCUAAUCCUCUGCUGUACGUUCAAACCUGAGGCCUUAAAUAGAAACACACAAGUAUCUGAUUGAAGGAACUUCUGCAGAGUCCUGGUUCCAGAACAUGAUGAUAGAAUUAUAGACAAACUUUAACAAAAGCUGCCUGAGAGUUUACAGGUUUUUAUGUUGGAUUUCUUCAGUAAUUUAAUGAGAGUUAUCAGCAAAAAUCAAGUGUUCAUUUGAUGAACUUCAUUUCCUAAAACAUCCAGAAUUGGAGCUCGUAUCUUUGGCAGCUGUAAAGUUUCUGCUCCUUCAAAGUUCACAACACAAUGAAUGAAUUCCUAAAACACUCUCAAUGCUGGAGAGCGUUUGAUGCUGAAGCAGUGAGCAGUUUUUCUGUUUCUUCUCUGGAGAUGCACAAUGAGGGACGUCUGCAGCGACUGAGAAAGAGUCUCACCACAUCCUGACAUGAGGAAAAAGACUUUAUUGAAGACUACAAUGAGAAAAACUAUCAGACAGCAGACGGCUGCAUUCAAGGUGAGCUCUGAACAUUUGAUCUGGAACAGGAAUUCAAUGACGGCAGCAUGAGCUUCAUUUCAGUCUGUAGCUGCUGAAUUCAUGGAUGAAUCAUCUGGCACUAGAGAAGAAGACCAUCAAACAUCCACGUCAGCUGAUGGAGGUCCAAGAGUCUCACCCAACAAACAACCUACAGAAUGAAGACCUCCAAUCUGAUUGGACGGCCUCCUAUUCAGCCACAUGUGUGAACAAAUGCCUCUAAGCUGAUUUGUUUUCUAAAAUUUGUUUUCUGGAACCAGCUCCCAGUUUGGGUUCGGGAGGCGGACACCCUCUCUAUUUUUAAGACCAGGCUUAAAACCUUCCUUUUUGACAAAGCUUAUAGUUAGGGCUGACUGGGUGACCCUGACGGGGUGAGCUGGUUUUCAUUUGCACAACUGACUUCCCCUCUUGACGUCCCUUUAGUUUGCCCCUAGUUAUGCUGCUAUAGGCCUAGGCUGCUGGGGAACCUCUCUGGAUGCACUGAGCCCUUCUCUAACUACCUAUGUAUUUACUAUAUAUACCAUUAUUGCAUUACAUUCACUCUGUUUCUUUCUGUGUCCUUUCUCCGAGUGUCCCUGGUCCCAGAGCUGGAUGCUGGAUGCUUCAGAUGUGUGGCUGUGUUUUAUGGUCCUUGUGUCCCACCCCCCCACCUCUCUAUCUCUACCCCUCUACCUCCAUCCCUCUAUCUCUACCUUUCUACCUCUUCUGUCCCUCUCAACCCACCCGGCCAGCAGCAGAUGGGUCCCCCCACAUUAGAGCCGGGUUCUGCUCGAGGUUUUUUUCCCUGUUAAAAGGGUGUUUUCCUUGCCACUGUCUCCUUAGGGCUGCUCUGGGGGUCAGCCAUAUGGGUUCUGUAAAGCGUCUCGAGACAAUUUGACUGUAAUUGGCGCUAUAUAAAUAAAAUUGAAUUAAAAAAAUAAAUAAAUAAAUCUAGUUUAAGUCCUAAUCUAUGCCUGUGUGUUUGCUUCUUUACACUGCUGUUAACAGUUUAGGCUGUUAGAUUGUUCCAGAUAAGACAAGUACAAGAUUCUUCAGAGCCGUUCCACCAUGAGCCUGACAGGAAGAACUCCAACAGCUACUGAAUGUUCCUGUGGUUCCCUCAAGGCUACAGGAGGAGUCCUACGAGGACGAGCCGGUCCACCUGAUGGUGGCCAGUCACUGCAGUUCAAAGCCAACACCGACUACGUGGACUUCUACUGGACCACACGGAGGCCUUCAAACCGGACCAACAAGUUCAGCGACUCCCCGACUCGUGGGUCUGAGGACGCCGCCGAGCCUCGGUCCAGCCAGCCUCCUGUCUGUGGGUGUUUGAGUGCUGAGAGGUUUGUGGAUGCAUGUGAACGUUCUGUGUUGAAACAGCAGCUUUGGACUCAGUAACGCCGGGAAAAACCAAGAGCUCCUUUAUUUGUGACUUCCACUAAAAAACUGAUGAAAAUAAGUUUGCCAGGGUUCUGACUGAUAACAGAUUAUUAAAUAAUGAAAAUAAUCGUUUAAAUAUUCCUUUAAACAAUCUUUUAGGGCUACAUUUCCUUUACACUGACUUCUUGGUAAAUGUACUAGUAUUUAGGGUGGAAUAUACCAUUAAGCCCGAUGUUCAAGGGUUCUUCUGGGAAUAUACUAUUAAACCAACCUUUUAGGUAAAUGUUCCAGGAUGUUGGGUAGAAUAUACCAUCAGAUAAACCUUUUAGGUCUACAUUGGAAGAUUUUACAGUAGAAUAUUACUCCAAUCCAUCCUUUAGGUCAACAUUUAAGGUGGAAUACUCCUUUACACCAAGAUUUUUUGGUCUACAUUGAAGGAUUUUUGGUGGAAUAUUUCUUUGGAUGAACUUUUUAAGUUUAUGUUCAAGGAUGUUGGUGGAAUAUAACAUCAGACCAACCUCCAAGGUCUACAGUAGUGAAUUUUAGGUGGAAUAUACCAUUAAACUCACCUUUUAGGUCUACAUUGGAGGAUUUUAGGUGGAAUUUUCUUCCAAACCAUCUUUUAGUCUACAUUUAAGGAUGUUUAGGAUGGUAUAUUCUUCCAAACCAACUUCUCAGGUCUACAUUUCAGGUGGAAUAUUCCUCCAUACUAACUUUUUUGGUCUACAUUGAAGGAUUUUUUCUAAACCACCCUUUGGGGUCUAUAUUUGAGGUUUUAGGUGGAAUAUUCCUUUUAACCAGCCCCUCGGGUCUCUUUGAGGAUUUUGGAUGGAAUACUCAGUUAAAGCAACAUUUUAGGUGCAUGUCCAAGGAUUUUUGGUGGAAUGUUACUUUAAGGUGGAUGUGUGAGGACCUUGUAGGUGGAAUACUUCCUGAAACCAACCUUUUAGGUCAACAUUCAAAGAUUUAAGGUGGAAUAUUCCUUUAAACCAACCUAAAUUUCAUGUUUUGAUCAUUAUCAAGUGAGAAACCUCAAUCCAGACUCCUCAUAAUGACGUUUGAGAUUUAUGCUGCUGUUAUUUGUUUAGUCCAGACUAAAUAACAGAAAUCCACAACUGUAAUUUUAUUGCAGGACUCGGUUAUUAAAUGUCAAAACAAUCCAUGUGACUCUAAAAACUCAACAGCUUUACAAACUCUAAGAUUAAACUCUCCACAAGGAUCCAAAAUAAGUUGGACUUCUACAUGAGAGCUUUAAUUAUUCUUCAUCUACUUUCUGAAAAGUUUGGUCAAUAAAAAAGACAAAAACUAAUAUUUUCAGCUGAACUAAAGUAAGACUUUGUGAUUUUUCUGCUCACAUCUUGUGUUGUUGUAAACUUCCUCUUUCAAAUAAAUAUCCUCCUAACCCCCUGGAAACCAGCGUUUGUCCUGUUUUUGUGUUGCUCGUCACCUACUUCAGACAGCCGGGACAAAACAACGUUUUGUGGACAAAAGGCUGUUCUAUGACGUUUUUAGAGCGACAUGCUAUGCUACGUCGAAAAAAAAUGUUAUUUAUCAACAUAUUGUAAAAACGUGCCAUAUGAUGAAAUAAAUAAUAAUAAUGUAAAGAAGGCCGUGAAAAACACUCCAGAAAGGUUUUCUUUGAAAAAAAAAUCAUCAUGAAUUUUGGCGCAAAAAAAACACCAUAGUAUACUAUGUCGAAAAAAAAUUUUUGAUUUUUCAACAUGUUGUGAAAACGUGCCAUAUGAUGAAAUAAUGUAAAGGAGGCCAUGAAAAAGUAUGUCGUCCAAAAUGUGACAAAAACGUCAUAGUUUAGUAUGUCGUCCAAAAUUUCUUGGUCAUGGUCUUUCUGGUCCUGCUCCAGAACACCUUCAUCAACUACGUUUUCCUUUGAAGAGGCCCUCAGAUGCUUCAAUCUCUGACAACUAAUAUUUUCAGCUGAACUAAAGACAGACUUUGUGAUUUUUCUGCUCACAUCUUGUGUUGUUGUAAACUUCCUCUUUCAAAUAAAUAUCCUCCUAACCCCCUGGAAACCAGCGUUUGUCCUGUUUUUGUGUUGCUCCUCAGCGACCCAAGACAGCAGGGUCCUAAUGUUUUUUGAGCAACACACCAUACUAUGAUGUUUUUACAAUGAUGGUUCUACUAUGGAGCCAGUUUGACAUGUUCAGGUGUUCUUUGUGUGAAAACUCAGAGAUUUCAGGUAUCAGAAGGUGGUUUUCAACUUUCUUUGUUAACUUUCUGCUUCAAAUUUAAAAUAAAUUUCCUUGACUAACCCCGCCCUCUGGACUUCCAGGAAGCUGUGUUCCUAUUGGCUGUCCAGGUGGCUGCUUGGUGUUAUCAGGAACACCUGAGCAGCUCAGUGUCUUCCUGCUUUAUUUAGCUGCAGACAAACAUUUCCUCUGCUUCUCUUCACCACUGAACUGGGUUUGGUUCCAUUGCUUUAGUUUGUUCUUUAG